CAACGAGCGCAACCCCUAUCUUUAGUUGCCAUCAUUUAAGUUGGGCACUCUAAAGAGACUGCCGGUGUCAAACCGGAGGAAGGUGGGGAUGACGUCAAGUCCUCAUGGCCUUUAUGACCAGGGCUACACACGUACUACAAUGGCCGGUACAAAGGGCAGCGACACAGCGAUGUGAAGCCAAUCCCGAAAAGCCGGUCUCAGUCCGGAUUGAAGUCUGCAACUCGACUUCAUGAAGUCGGAAUCGCUAGUAAUCGCGGAUCAGAACGCCGCGGUGAAUACGUUCUCGGGGUUU
Molecule: ribosomal RNA, 292 nt
Filed under: uncultured Desulfocapsa sp.
Lineage: Bacteria; Pseudomonadati; Thermodesulfobacteriota; Desulfobulbia; Desulfobulbales; Desulfocapsaceae
Description: partial 16S ribosomal RNA
Rfam family: Bacterial small subunit ribosomal RNA
Source: RNAcentral